Molecule: small nuclear RNA, 281 nt
Filed under: Chinchilla lanigera (long-tailed chinchilla)
Lineage: Eukaryota; Metazoa; Chordata; Mammalia; Rodentia; Chinchillidae
Description: 7SK RNA (ENSCLAG00000022161.1)
Rfam family: 7SK RNA
About the family: 7SK was discovered as an abundant small nuclear RNA in the mid-70s but a possible function has only recently been suggested. Two independent studies have found that 7SK RNA binds the CDK9/cyclin T complex (known as elongation factor P-TEFb).
Source: Rfam by way of RNAcentral
GGAUGUGAGGGUGAUCUGGCUGAGACAUCUGUCACCCCACUGAUCUCCAGGGUUGAUUCGGGUGAUCUGGCUGGCUGGAUGAGGGUCCUCUUCCUCCCUCAAUGCUCCAUGUGUGUCCCUCCUGAAGCUGCGCGCUGGGUCGAAGAGGAUGACCACUCCUGAUAGAGGAGGACAGCUGUGCUGCCCUGCUGGAACCUCCAAACAAGCUCUCAAGGUCCCUUCUUGUGCUGGCCAGUGGUUGCCUCUGCAGACGGCAUUUUUAAUUAGCGUGGGGAGGUAUU